Molecule: ribosomal RNA, 501 nt
Filed under: uncultured bacterium
Lineage: Bacteria
Description: partial 16S ribosomal RNA
Rfam family: Bacterial small subunit ribosomal RNA
Source: RNAcentral
AUUGAACGCUGGCGGCAGGCUUAACACAUGCAAGUCGAGCGGGGGAAGGUAGCUUGCUACUGGACCUAGCGGCGGACGGGUGAGUAAUGCUUAGGAAUCUGCCUAUUAGUGGGGGACAACAUCUCGAAAGGGAUGCUAAUACCGCAUACGUCCUACGGGAGAAAGCAGGGGAUCUUCGGACCUUGCGCUAAUAGAUGAGCCUAAGUCGGAUUAGCUAGUUGGUGGGGUAGAGGCCUACCAAGGCGACGAUCUGUAGCGGGUCUGAGAGGAUGAUCCGCCACACUGGGACUGAGACACGGCCCAGACUCCUACGGGAGGCAGCAGUGGGGAAUAUUGGACAAUGGGGGGAACCCUGAUCCAGCCAUGCCGCGUGUGUGAAGAAGGCCUUAUGGUUGUAAAGCACUUUAAGCGAGGAGGAGGCUACUUUAGUUAAUACCUAGAGAUAGUGGACGUUACUCGCAGAAUAAGCACCGGCUAACUCUGUGCCAGCCGCCGCGGUAA